AGGCAAGAUGUUGGCAUAGCUGAUUUACACUCUGUGGUCAGCUCUGUCGCAUAUUGCCCCC
RNAcentral lists this microRNA precursor (61 nucleotides) under Capitella teleta. Its description in RNAcentral is "Cte-Mir-31_pre stem-loop". Lineage: Eukaryota; Metazoa; Annelida; Polychaeta; Capitellidae. The record is from RNAcentral.